Molecule: unclassified non-coding RNA, 230 nt
Filed under: Hevea brasiliensis (rubber tree)
Lineage: Eukaryota; Viridiplantae; Streptophyta; Magnoliopsida; Malpighiales; Euphorbiaceae
Source: RNAcentral
AGCACUACCCGCCCACGCGGAGAGACAUUCUCACAUACGCGCUUUACUACAGUAUCUUCUUUUCCUCCUUUGGAUUCUCCGGAUCUUCAACUCCGGUCAAAAGAUCUCCCGAUUGUCGGCGCAACUCCGACCACAGAAGAGUAUCAAACACUUUGGUCACAAAUGGCAACCAGCACCAUCCGCAAAGCGAUCGGCGCCGUCAAAGAUCAAACAAGCAUAAGCAUAGCCAA